GUUAAAUACAAAAGACUGAAGUUUAUUUAUAUAAAAUUCUGGAAGAUGAAAAAUCUAGUGACAGAAAAUUAUUGGUUGCCUUAAGAUGAAAGUCAGGAGAGAGAAUCCACUGCAAAGGACCGAAGGAAACUUUUUCAGGCUGUGAUGGUUUGUGGAGUUGGGAAGAGAUGCUGGCAGUCUGCCACAGUGAGCUUUAUGACCAUCUCCAGUACAUCACGGAGUGGCACCUUCAACAACUACACCCAUUCUCUCCGUCACAGCAAACUCCCCAUCUUCGCGCCCCUUCAGGCCUAGGUGGACAAUAUAUUUUCUGAUAGGAUCUUACCUGUUCCAGUAAUUGAUACAAGGAAUGAUGUCAGAAAACAGACUUUCCCUACAGAUUCUGCAAUGGGAUUCUGCACAUGUUCAAGAAAUAAACAGAAAACAUUCCUAUCAGUGGAAAAAAUGGAAAUUGGUAAUCCAUGCUAUGCAUCAGCAUCACAUUCACAUUUUCAUGUGGUGGCUUGGAGGUAUCAACUAAUAUGUAGAUGACAAGCAUGGUAUUGGGGAAUUGUGGCUAUAGCAAUGUAAUAGCAAUUUGAUAACUAUGAAAACAAUACGAUUAUGCAAAUCAUGGCCCCAAAGAGCCUGUCUGUGGAAAAAAUCAUUGAAGCUCCUGAAUGUCCAAACUCAAAACACAAGUGUAAAUCCACAUUCCUUCCAAGGAAGCAAUAUCUUUGAGAACCUUAAUCCUAGCUGAGCUCUGUUGACCAUAUUUGACAAUAGGAGAUACUAUGAAUAAGCUGAGGUCUUAUUCCCCAAGACUGGGUAAUUUAUAAAGGAAAGAGAUUUAAUUGAUGUACAGUUCAGCAUGGCUGUAAGAAAACUCACAAUCAUGGCGGAAGGUGAAGAGGAAGCAAGGCACCUUCUUCACAAGGUGGCAGGAAGAAGUGAGAAGUAAAGGGGGAAGAGCUCCUUAUAAAACCAUCAGAUCUCGUGAGAACUUACUAUCAUGAGAACAGCAUGAGGCAAACCUCCCCCAUGAUUCAAUUACCUACACCUGGUCUCUCCCUUGACACGUGGGGAUUAUGUGGAUUACAGUUCAAGGUGAGAUUUGAGUGGGGACCCAAAGCCUAACUGUAUCAACUAAUGACAGAGAUUAAGUGGUUUGGGAAUUGCAGGAGCCUAGUGACAACAUUUAACCAACAGAUAAGGUGAGUAAAAUGACCAUAAUAAACCUCAUGACAGUAAAAGAAACAAGAGUGACUUAUCCUACAGGGAAGUAAUAUAUCAUAGUUUUUCUAGGAAUGAAAUACAAAGGCAGCCAACUAAGUUGUGAUUUGAUUAUAUAACCUGAAUAAUCAAAAGAUGACAAGCAAUAGAAAAUUGCAAUCUCUUAGACCCUUUUCAUGUAUAAGCCAGUUCUCAGCCCAGAGCUCAAUAGGAGGACUAGGUCACCUAGAAGAAGGACUGUGUAAUGCCAAUGCAAGUAUAUUCAAUGUAUGUUCCAUUGAGAUCCUUUACCAGAAUAAAUGUACACUGGAGAAAUUUGAUUACUCAUAUCUUUCAAGGGUUUUUAGUUCAGGGUCUAAGUUGGCAGUGAUAUUGCUGAUCUGAAACACAAUCAUAGCUCCUUGGCUUGAGAAAAGUGUUAUGGAAUUCAGGCUUGAGAAAGGUGUUAUGGAAUUCAGGCUUGAGAAAGGUGUUAUGGAAUUCAGGCUUGAGAAAGGUAUUAUGGAAUUCAGGUAAUAAAUGGAGUCCAGACCAAGUCACAGUGGCAAUUUCCAUGGAACUCACUUGUAACACUAGGAUGGAUAUACUUAGAAUCUUAUUAGUUCCUGACCUGUUAAGGGUGAGCCAUUGCAGAAUGAAAGACCAGCAGAAAACUCCAGCAUCAUCCCUCUUACCCUCAAGGCCAAGAUAGUCAAUAAAAAAGAGUACUGUACGUCAAGAAGAAUUGCAGGAAUUAUUGACAACUUCAAAGUUUUUGAGGAGUCAGAGGUAAUUGCUUUUAUGAUAUCUCUAUUUAGUUUACCUGUACGGCCCUUUCAAAACAUAGAUGGCCUAUACUGGGUAAUAGAGGAUUAAUAUAAACCUAAAGGAUGAUACCACAUGUGCAACUGCUUUGCUGGAUGUGUUUCUGGAAUAGAAUAUAACUUCUGGUACUUGGAUGUCACUAUUGAUGUAGAGAAUACAUUCUCUUCUAUCUCCAUCAAUAAAAAUGUAUCAGAAGUAAUAUAUUUUUGUAUCACUCUAUUCAUUGACAGUUUUGGACCAGGGGUAUGAAAAUGUCCUUGACUUUAUCUCAUUAUACCAUUCUGAGACCUUGAGUAUAUCUUAUAAUUUUAUGGGGCAUUACACUUGUCACUGUAUUCAUUUCAUUAUGCUAAUUUUACCUGGUCUGAAAUAAGGAGACUGGACACCCUAGUAAAUUACAUGUUUCCCAGAAGUGGUAAAUGAACUCCAGAAAGAUGACAGUCCUGCCACAUCAAUAAGGACUUGCUUCCUAAAACAAAGGAUAGGUUAUUGUUCUUCACAAAUCCUACCACUAAGGUAGAGUCAUAGACAUAGAACUUAGUAUUUUUUUUUUUUUUUUUAACAAUCAGAACUAUGGUUCUAGUGCAGUGCAAACUUCCCUGGACAUUAGCCACCUGGCUGUUAAAUAUAGUGGUGUCAGAAGUAUCCAAGAUGGAUAAAGAUGUUGCAUGUAUUUCAGGGUCAGGCCAUCUGCAGAAGAGAACUAAGCACUCUCGGAAAACCACAUUCUUAUGUGCUACAGAGCCCAGCAGAAAAAGAAACACUGCAUGUGGAACAUCUGUUGACUAUACAGAAAGAGCAGGUAUCCAGGAGUGAGGUCAAACAUAUGCAAUAUACUUUUAUUGCAUAAUUGAAAUGGUGCAUUUGGAUUUGGAAAUUCGCAGGUCUAGAACAAAAAAUAAUUUACGUGAAGAGGUGUAAAUUCCUGAAAAGUGCAACAUUGGGAUAUCUAAUAAGAGCAAGUUUGGGCUUCAGUGAGGAAACAAUAAAAAUUUUGCAGAAGAAGCACAUGAAUAGAUCAUGAGAGUGGGCAAACAGCGUAAGAAACUGUGUCUCACGUUGAUAUCUACCUAAAAGUAUCCAAUACAGAGGAAGCACUUAAAAAUAAGAGAAAUAAGUGGAAUCCUUGUAAGGAUAUAAAACACAAUUUGUCUCAGCCACUCAGCCGUCCAACUUGAACAAUGAGCCCAUUAAGAGAACAGGACGAAAACAAGGUUUUCCUUUCUUUGUCAGAUCUCACUACUGCCAUUGCUGAUAGUCCAGCCUGCCAACAUCAGAGACAAACAUAGAGCACUCAAUAGAGUAGCGUCAACUAAUGGGACAUGUCAAUCACUUAGCAAUAUAUUGAUUAUAUCAGACUUGUCCAAACAGUAGUCCAUUCUUAUUGGAAUAGGUGUUUCUCUAAGAUUUGGGUUUGCCUUUCUAGCCCCUGUGCCUUUGCUAGUACCAUCAUCCAGGGGUUUAUAUAAUGCCACGUUUACACCUUGGCACACAAUAUAAUAUUUACUUAAUCAAAGUAACCAUUUUCUUAUGGUGAGUACAAGUAUUCUUUUUAUUAUGAUUAUGAUUAUUUAAACUAUGAAUAUACACCUUAUACUGGUCUUUGUAUGUGUAAUACAUAUUUGUAUAUGUAUAAUAUACAAAUAUAUAAUAUAUCUUUGUGUUUGUAUAAUAUGGAUUAUUAUAUUUGUAUAUGUAUAAUAUAUGAAUAUAUAAUAUAUAUUUAUAUUUUUAUAUGUAUAAUAUGGAUUGACAAUAUGUUUUAAUCGUCAAUAUGAAUAAAAUAAUAAAGAUGAAUAAAAUAAUAAUAAACCAAAUAUAUAUGUAGGGUUAUG
Molecule: long non-coding RNA, 3851 nt
Filed under: Homo sapiens (human)
Lineage: Eukaryota; Metazoa; Chordata; Mammalia; Primates; Hominidae
Description: HSALNT0128580
Source: RNAcentral